GGCGGCAGGCUUAACACAUGCAAGUCGAGCGGUAGCAGAUCUAGCUUGCUAGAUGCUGACGAGCGGCGGACGGGUGAGUAACGCGUAGGAACCUGCCCAGUAGUGGGGGCUAGCCCCGGGGGAAACUCGGGAUUAAUACCGCAUACGCUCUACGGAGGAAAAGAGGGGGCUUCGGGCUCUCGCUAUUGGAUGGGCCUGCGUGAGAUUAGCUAGUUGGUGAGGUAAUGGCUCACCAAGGCGACGAUCUCUAGCUGGUCUGAGAGGAUGAUCAGCCACACUGGGACUGAGACACGGCCCAGACUCCUACGGGAGGCAGCAGAGGGGAAUAUUGCACAAUGGGCGCAAGCCUGAUGCAGCCAUGCCGCGUGUGUGAAGAAGGCUUUCGGGUUGUAAAGCACUUUCAGUGGGGAGGAAGGCCUCGUAGUUAAUAGCUGCAAGGAUUGACGUUACCCACAGAAGAAGCACCGGCUAACUCCGUG
Molecule: ribosomal RNA, 479 nt
Filed under: uncultured bacterium
Lineage: Bacteria
Description: bacterial SSU rRNA
Rfam family: Bacterial small subunit ribosomal RNA
Source: RNAcentral